This 503-nucleotide ribosomal RNA is filed under the name uncultured Glomus. RNAcentral describes it as "SSU rRNA". It matches the Rfam family "Eukaryotic small subunit ribosomal RNA", at positions 569 to 1074 of the family's 1831-position model. The record is from RNAcentral. Lineage: Eukaryota; Fungi; Glomeromycota; Glomeromycetes; Glomerales; Glomeraceae.
AGCAGCCGCGGUAAUUCCAGCUCCAAUAGCGUAUAUUAAAGUUGUUGCAGUUAAAAAGCUCGUAGUUGAAUUUCGGGGUCAGUAGGUUGGUCAUGCCCAUGGUAUGCACUGGUCUCACUGAUUCCUCCUUCCUGAUGAACCGUAAUGCCAUUAAUUUGGUGUUGCGGGGAAUCUGGACUGUUACUUUGAAAAAUUAGAGUGUUUAAAGCAGGCCAACGCCUGAAUACAUUAGCAUGGAAUAAUGAAAUAGGACGUUCGAUCCUAUUUUGUUGGUUUCUAGGAUUGACGUAAUGAUUAAUAGGGAUAGUUGGGGGCAUUAGUAUUCAAUUGUCAGAGGUGAAAUUCUUGGAUUUAUUGAAGACUAACUACUGCGAAAGCAUUUGCCAAGGAUGUUUUCAUUAAUCAAGAACGAAAGUUAGGGGAUCGAAGACGAUCAGAUACCGUCGUAGUCUUAACCAUAAACUAUGCCGACUAGGGAUCGGAUGAUGUUAAUUUUAUAUAGA